Molecule: ribosomal RNA, 253 nt
Filed under: uncultured bacterium
Lineage: Bacteria
Description: partial 16S ribosomal RNA
Rfam family: Bacterial small subunit ribosomal RNA
Source: RNAcentral
UACGAAGGGGGCUAGCGUUGCUCGGAAUCACUGGGCGUAAAGGGUGCGUAGGCGGGUUUUUAAGUCAGAGGUGAAAUCCUGGAGCUCAACUCCAGAACUGCCUUUGAUACUGAAAGUCUUGAGUAUGGGAGAGGUGAGUGGAACUGCGAGUGUAGAGGUGAAAUUCGUAGAUAUUCGCAAGAACACCAGUGGCGAAGGCGGCUCACUGGCCCAUAACUGACGCUGAGGCACGAAAGCUAGGGGAGCAAACGGG